AGCUCCGGGGUGUAAUCACGUCAGAUUGCAAAUCUGGAAAUGCAGGCGAGAAGCCUGCCGGGGCUU
Molecule: transfer RNA, 66 nt
Filed under: Bothus robinsi (twospot flounder)
Lineage: Eukaryota; Metazoa; Chordata; Actinopteri; Pleuronectiformes; Bothidae
Description: tRNA-Cys
Rfam family: tRNA
About the family: Transfer RNA (tRNA) molecules are approximately 80 nucleotides in length. Their secondary structure includes four short double-helical elements and three loops (D, anti-codon, and T loops).
Source: RNAcentral